Bactrocera oleae (olive fruit fly) is the source of this 365-nucleotide long non-coding RNA. RefSeq lists it as uncharacterized. Lineage: Eukaryota; Metazoa; Arthropoda; Insecta; Diptera; Tephritidae. The record is from RefSeq and is a predicted model, not a curated record.
AAAAGUUUACUACUAUAGGUGCCGUGACACGUUCACUUUUAAAAAGUUUUAAAUUAUUAAAAUUCAAUGUAGUGUACUUAAUUACUGUUUUGUAUCUUAAUUUGUGGCUCAGUUGUAGCACUUUGUAAUUUUCACUUAACAACAUUUUUUAAUCAUGUACAUACUGAAGUGCAAGUCAUUGAAGAGGUGGAAAUCGAAAUUCAACCCGAUAAAUUGUUUCCAAAAGAGUUUUGUUGGUAACUCACUUCGCAAUAACUUCAUCCCCCAAGCCACGUUUGAUGCAAUUUGACAACGCAAAGCAUUUCGGCUUUCGAGAUACGUUUUUCCAAAUUCUGUGACUCUGUACUGUACAAAACGCGGCUGAA